Molecule: ribosomal RNA, 783 nt
Filed under: Sclerococcales sp.
Lineage: Eukaryota; Fungi; Ascomycota; Eurotiomycetes; Sclerococcales
Description: partial large subunit ribosomal RNA
Rfam family: Eukaryotic large subunit ribosomal RNA
Source: RNAcentral
AAAAGCUCAAAUUUGAAAUCUGGCUUCGGCCCGAGUUGUAAUUUGUAGAGGAUGUUUCGGGCAAGAUCCGGGCUUAAGUUCCUUGGAACAGGACGUCAUAGAGGGUGAGAAUCCCGUACGUGGUCCAGGGUCGCGCCCAUGUGAAACUCCUUCGACGAGUCGAGUUGUUUGGGAAUGCAGCUCAAAAUGGGUGGUAAAUUUCAUCUAAAGCUAAAUAUUGGCCAGAGACCGAUAGCGCACAAGUAGAGUGAUCGAAAGAUGAAAAGCACUUUGAAAAGAGAGUUAAACAGCAUGUGAAAUUGUUGAAAGGGAAGCGCUUGCAACCAGACUUGUUUGUAGGGUUCAGCCGUCGUUCUCGUCGGUGUAUUUCCCUAUCUACAGGCCAGCAUCAGUUCGGACGGAAGGUCAAAGGCCUUGGGAAUGUAGCAUCCUCCGGGAUGUCUUAUAGCCCUCGGUGUAAUGCUUCCAGCCCGGACUGAGGAACGCGCUUCGGCUCGGAUGCUGGCGUAAUGGUUUUAAGCGACCCGUCUUGAAACACGGACCAAGGAGUCUAACAUCUAUGCGAGUAUUUGGGUGUCAAACCCAUAUGCGAAAUGAAAGUGAACGGAGGUGGGAAUCUUCGGAUGCACCAUCGACCGAUCCUGAUGUCUUCGGAUGGAUUUGAGUAAGAGCAUAGCUGUUGGGACCCGAAAGAUGGUGAACUAUGCCUGAAUAGGGUGAAGCCAGAGGAAACUCUGGUGGAGGCUCGCAGCGGUUCUGACGUGCAAAUCGAUCGUCAAAUUU